Peromyscus leucopus (white-footed mouse) is the source of this 1189-nucleotide long non-coding RNA. RefSeq lists it as uncharacterized. The record is from RefSeq and is a predicted model, not a curated record. Lineage: Eukaryota; Metazoa; Chordata; Mammalia; Rodentia; Cricetidae. The transcript is spliced from 2 exons.
AGAGUCUAACCCUCCAGCUCUGAGCUAGAACUGGACAGACUCCUGUGCCAAUCCUUCAGUGGCUCAGGGUGGUCUAAGAGAGCCCAUAGAGACCCCCAGUGGGACGGCAGAACCAGGUCUACAAGCACACACCGGCAUAGUUUGGAGAACCAGCAGCAGCAGAGGCCAGUGGCGAGACAGUCCCUAAGAGCUUGGGAGGAAAUUCCACGGACUGUGAGAUGAACCUGCCCUGGACAGUCACAAACCUACACAGGAGAAGCCAGUGGGUGUGAAGACGGCAAGGCCUUCUGGAGCUCUGCAACCAGCCACACUUGCCUUGACCUUGAACCUGAACUUGCCUGGGCCAGAACUGGAUGAAGUCACAUAUGCCAUUAGCAAGUCUUUACCACUGGGGUCCUGACUCCAUUCCAGCCUCCCGAGGGCCAGGGCUGCAGGGCUUCAUGCCUGGCCCCUCAGAGCACCUAAGCCUGACAAGUAGGGGUGACUGCUUACUGGCCCUGUCACCUGGGAUGUCUAUCCAUCCUGGGGUCUCAAUUUCACCAUAGAUAAAUGAAGAGAUUGAACCCCUCUCAACUGUGUGGGGUAGAAGAGCUCCCCCGAGUGCCCAGAGCUGCUGGCUCAGGGGAAGAAGGCUGUAUUCUCUUCCCUCUUUCCCAGUGGCCUGCCUGGACACGCCAAGGCCCACCCACUUGCCACUCUGGGCCCGAGGUGUAAGAGUGGGACAGAGGGGCACUCACACAAUAGCGUCCCUGGGACACUCGGCGGAGGUCCUGUACCAUGUCACCAGCCUCCUGAUGGGAAUGGCCCCCUUGAAGUACUCCAGGCAGCACUCUCGGCCUACGUUGGUGGCUCGAGCUAGAAGAGCAAUAGGAAACAGGUGUCCGAAGGGUCUGCGCAUGUGCCUGGGGACCCAUGGAGCGCCCCCAUGUGUGGCUGUGUGAACCUAUGGACGAUAACUGCGCGUGCUUUUCUUUGUCUGUAUGCUGGUUUUUCCUGGUGUGUUUGUGUGUGUGUGUGUGUGUUACUGUGGUGGUGGUGGGGUGUGUGUGCGUGUGUAGGCUCUUUGUGUUUGCAUGUUUGUAUAUUCAUCUGUGUGUAAUUGCAUCCCAGCUGCCUGUAUCUUGGAACCUUAUUUCAACUUCCCUUUUCUAACCUAAAUAUAAAAGUCUCCUUUCAUACGUUCUUGGAA